AGGAACCUUAGUUGUUAAAGAAAUCCAAAUCCGCUAGAUGUAUCAAAGUAUUGAGAAAGCUUCUCCUAGAGUUAAAAGAAAAGAAAAGAAUGAUUAGAAAAAGGGCUUAAAGGAUUCAUGAAUGCAAAGGGUAGAGUUAGGGUCUUAUAUUGGGAUUACCAUUAGACCUUCAUUUGAUAUACUCUGGGUAGAUGGGAUCUUAUCUCUGUAUGCAUAGCUUGGGACUUACCUUUAGCAUUCUACUAAAGCUUAAUCAAUUUUUGAGAGAUCCCCUGUUACUGAAGCCUAUUCUGUAAGGGACCAUCUUUGUCUCUUGACCUUUUGCCUUAGCCAAAUGAGUUCAUUGAUGAUGCAUUGUUUGAAUCACGUUCGAGAACUAAUGAAUGUUAAACGGAUUGGUAGAUUUUAAAACAUGUGUAGGUCGAGCAUAUGAGUCGGAUUGAUUGAUAAUAAGGCAUGGCUAAUGUUUUUGAGUAGAAUUCGACCAUAUCGAAGCUUAGAACUAUCAACUUGGACAUUGAUUUCAUCUUGUUUAUAUGGUGCUUUGGUUCUGAGUCCCCGCUUUCAAACAUCGCCUCUAGCUUGUUCUUGAUUGUUUGCUUAAGGGCAAGCAAAGACUAAGUUUGGGGGAGUUGAUAAGUGUGUAUUUUGCAUGUUUUGAGCAUCCAUUUGUCAUCACUUUAGCACCAUAUCAUCACUGUUUUAUACCAUUUCUCAUCAUUUUGCAUGUUUAGGAUAGGUUUGCAUGCAUGUUGCAUAUUUGUAUUGAUUUCAGGUGAGUUGGAGCUGUUAACGAGCUAACUGGAAGAAGCGGACCUAAUCAUGUCAAACCACUCGACCCCGAGGUUGAGUAGAAGCUUCAAGACCUCAAGAGACCACUCGACCCCCUGGUCGAGUAGAGGACUUCUCGAUUUCAUCAUAUCACUCUACCUCGAGGUCGAGUGUCUUCAUCUCCAUCACCUGACCACCACUCGAUCACCUCACUCGACCCCAAGGUCGAGUGUCUUCAUCUCCGUCACCAGAUCACCACUCGAUCACACCACUCUACCUGGAACUCGAGUAUCACCAUCACCACCACUCGACUACAUACUUGAUGGCAAGCUUCAGAGUCUUCUUCAUUCCGCACUCAACCCGACACUCGAGCAUAAGGAAGAAAAGAAGACUCCAUCUAUUCACUCGACCUCCCACUCGACCACCUGGGUCGAGUACAGUUCUUAAUCCGUCCCAAUACUGCGUCGUUUUAAGUAUUAGGGUUUCGGAAUAUUUUGCUAUAAGUGUUGGUGUCGGAUCCCGCACCAUGGGCUCGGGACCGGCCAAAGAUUGCUACACAAGUAUGGGAGGCCCAUAAGAUGAAAAGCCCGUAAGAUUCUUCAAAGUAAGAGUAUGGGUGAGAUGUCGAUUGGCGAAGUGGGUGCAACAUCGAAGUUAGGACUACUCGAAUUGAAGAAGACAAAUGGGCCGAAGGGUGAAGUCCAGGAGGCCCGGAGUGGUUUCAAAUUCGAACGUUGAAU
Molecule: small RNA, 1511 nt
Filed under: Arabidopsis thaliana (thale cress)
Lineage: Eukaryota; Viridiplantae; Streptophyta; Magnoliopsida; Brassicales; Brassicaceae
Description: ATSL264190
Source: RNAcentral